Molecule: ribosomal RNA, 496 nt
Filed under: uncultured bacterium
Lineage: Bacteria
Description: partial 16S ribosomal RNA
Rfam family: Bacterial small subunit ribosomal RNA
Source: RNAcentral
GAUGAACGCUGGCGGCGUGCCUAAUACAUGCAAGUCGAGCGAACAGACGAGGAGCUUGCUCCUCUGACGUUAGCGGCGGACGGGUGAGUAACACGUGGAUAACCUACCUAUAAGACUGGGAUAACUUCGGGAAACCGGAGCUAAUACCGGAUAAUAUAUUGAACCGCAUGGUUCAAUAGUGAAAGACGGUUUUGCCGUCACUUAUAGAUGGAUCCGCGCUGCAUUAGCUAGUUGGUAAGGUAACGGCUUACCAAGGCGACGAUGCGUAGCCGACCUGAGAGGGUGAUCGGCCACACGGGAACUGAGACACGGUCCAGACUCCUACGGGAGGCAGCGGUAGGGAAUCUUCCGCAAGGGGCGAAAGCCUGACGGAGCAACGCGGCGUGAGUGAUGAAGGUCUUCGGAUCGUAAAACUCUGUUAUUAGGGAAGAACAAAUGUGUAAGUAACCAUGCACGUCUUGACGGUACCUAAUCAGAAAGCCACGGCUAACUACGU